Long non-coding RNA from Hipposideros armiger (great roundleaf bat), 471 nucleotides. RefSeq lists it as uncharacterized. The record is from RefSeq and is a predicted model, not a curated record. NCBI's taxonomy places the organism in Eukaryota, Metazoa, Chordata, Mammalia, Chiroptera, Hipposideridae. The transcript is spliced from 3 exons.
UGAGAAUGGGACAGAAGACAAGAAGGUGUGAUGGUGGAAAGAGGAAAUCCAUCCAGAACUGUCUAGAAGUGCAGGUCUGGCCAGGUCACCCUGUUUGUCCAAGAUGGCAGCAAAUGGGAAUAGACAGGAUGGAGACAGUGGACAAGGAGGAAGAAACCAGAGCUGGCAUGAGAGGAGUCCUUUGCCAAGGCUGUUCAAGGCGAUGGGGUUACGACUCCUCCCAAGGGCUGAGCCCUGGAAGACACCAGGAGGGAGGCGGAGCCUCUAGAGAUUACUCCAAGCCACCUUAAAUGGAGCUGGAAGGUCUGUCAAUUCCCAGAGAGCAGAGAGGAAAUGGAGUGUGAAAAGCUCUCAGCUCUCUAGGCUCCAGGAUCCCCAUGCAACCCUACAGCAUCAAAGACAAAGCUGGAAAUGUGGACCCUGCAGCAAACCUGGGAGGCUGAUACGGAUUUCAGUGUUUGGUUCGGUGAG